Pelobates cultripes (western spadefoot toad) is the source of this 81-nucleotide non-coding RNA. NCBI's taxonomy places the organism in Eukaryota, Metazoa, Chordata, Amphibia, Anura, Pelobatidae. The record is from the annotation of a GenBank genome assembly.
GCUCCAGUGGCGCAAUCGGUUAGCGCGCGGUAAUUAUGAGGCAGUAUGCUGAGGUUGUGAGUUCAAGCCUCACCUGGAGCA